Hevea brasiliensis (rubber tree) is the source of this 2760-nucleotide long non-coding RNA. RefSeq lists it as uncharacterized. The record is from RefSeq and is a predicted model, not a curated record. The transcript is spliced from 5 exons. Lineage: Eukaryota; Viridiplantae; Streptophyta; Magnoliopsida; Malpighiales; Euphorbiaceae.
AAAUGGCCCAUAGUUAUUGUAAGCCCGAUCCAUCUCUUCCUUCCUCCUCCUCCUUCUCCUCCUCCUCCUACUCCAACAGAGCGAUGGAAAAUGAAAAUGAAGCAGCAGCACGGAAGAAGAGCUUCGAUUACAAAGCACCGUCGGAGCAACAGGGAAGCCAUGGGAGCAACACGCAGCCGUCAUAACUCAUAAGCAUACCUUGCUUCGAUUACACAGUACCGUCUGCGCUACUUCAGCGCUUUUACUCUGGCUUCAUCGUUACCUGCUCCAUCAGUGCGUUCUCCUUCCUUAUUACUUACUCUUCCACUGAUUAUGGACAGGGAAAAAAAGUGCGACGAAAGAAGUAAUGUCCAUCCUUGAAAAGUUUUUGUAUGAUGGUGCAGACAUUGCUUGGUUUAGGAGGUAUCCAAUUUUGAAACCGGGGUUCAAGCUAUUUAUCCAAUGCCAUCAUAGAAGACGUUUUAAUUUUAAGGAAAAGUUUACUUGAUGAUCAUUAGGUUUUUCAUAUAGAUAUGGCCCUAUUUAUCUCUGUUCUUAUGUUUCAUCAGGUUGGAGAUUUUUAAUGAUUUUCUGCUUUGUUUGGGAUAUUUUAUGAUCUAAUAGCAUUUAAAUUCGACUUGUGUUCCUAGUUCUUAAAGCUUUAUGAAUCCUUCUAUCGGAAAGAGUUUUUUUUCUUUUUUGGAAUUGUAGGUUUAUUAGGACUUGUAAAGAUCUAUGCAUGUGUCUAUGUAAUUCAAGAAUUCUUAGACUUAGUUAUUAUACUAGUUUCUCAUUUACUGCCUGCAUAUGAUACCAUAUAAUUUUUGUUUGAUGAUUUGAGUAGUUAUUCCAAUGCAUUGUCUUUAUUAAAAACUUAUCAGAAAGUUUUCAAUGUUGAAAUCAAGUGUCUGAUUGUCACCAUAGUUAUUAAAUACUAAAGACGCACUAAGGCGCCAAGGGGUCUUGGAGCCCAGGCGCAAGGCGCAAAGCACAGGCGUGCGCCGCUGAAUGAGGUGAGGCGCAAAAGUAAAAAAUAUUUAAAAAAUUCAUAAAAGUCAAAUAAAUGUAAUGUUUUUUCUUUUCCUUUAGCAUAUAUCUUGAAAUAGGUGUUGAUGUAAAUUUUUUUUAAAAAAAGAUAAUAAUAGAGUGCUAGUGUUGAAAAUGGAAAUAUCGGAGGUUUAUGAAAUUGGGUAUACUAGUUUGAUAAAAUUUUGACGACUAGUUAUCACCAGCAAUACUAAUUUCAAAAACUUCAUAGUAUGUCAAUAUAGGAUUUCUAUAAAUCAACAAAUAUUAAGUUUAAGUGGUAGUCCUUUUUGGCAAUGAAAAUGCUCGCUAAAUGUGAAAAUAAAUAAGGUAUGCCUUUCUAGAAUUUUGCUCCUAGAACAAAGGUGCACGCCUAAGCGUAUAAGGCGCUAGGGUUCGAACCUUAUGAGCCUUGAGCCUGAGGCAUGUUAGAGGUGCGCCUUUAAUAACUAUGAUUGUCACUGGGACCUUUCUAUGAGACUUUCUCUGGUUUCACUUCUUUGGUAGAAUGAAUUUGUGACUUAAUCAUGGCCUUUUAACUUAUCUAGGUGUUCUUCUGGAGGGCAAUACUCAUUCAGUUGCAUUUUUCAAUCUCACGGUUAGGAAGGUUUCUGAGUAUUAGAUUUUGGAAAGGUGCUGAUAACUUAAAUGAACUUCAAGAGUGUAUCAGUUUUCUGCUUUCUCAUUUUAAAAGUGUUCAUUUGAAAAGGUAUCUUUAUCAUUUUAUUGGGUCCAUGAGCUGACAUUUUCUUCCACAUAUUUUCGAAUUUGGACUCCCUUGAUAGGAAAAGAUGUUGAUAUAUUUUUAACUUGAUUAUGGGCGGAAGGCCUUCUGGGCUUUUUGCUUGAUGAAUUAGGUGACUACUUGAGUACACCUUCAUUCUGUUCUCUUGGAGUUUCAUCUGUGAUAUAACAUGUAAUGAGAGAUCACAUAUUAGAAAUAUAUUUUGCUGUCAGUGCUAAUACUUUGAUUUUUCUAGUUCUUUUAUAGUAUAUAGGGUCCUAUAACUGUGGGGCCUCUGAAUCUUUGGAAAGCUCCAACGCAAGCCAGAGCACUAAGAGUAGGGAAACACAGAUUGAUGUAAUAAGUGGAAUAUGUGCUGAAGACACAAAAAGUAAAAGCAUUGGUGAGGACACGGAUGGCCUUUCAAAAGAGAUGGAUACGAUAGAAGAAAAAGGUUCUGUUCUUUCCCUGGUCAAGUUGACAGGGAAUGGUUUGCUUAGUCUGAGAUUUGCCAGAGAAAGUUCUCCUGACACUGUUGUUAUAGUAUCAAAUAUUUUUCAGUGUCUGGAAUCUGGGAGUCUAAGGUCACCUCUUUGGUGUCAUCGCAUUUUCCCAAUCCAAGCUACAUGUCAUUUGGAUGAGAAGGAACAACCAACAGUUGUACCAAAUCUUGUUCUUCAAUUCACGAAUGACAAGCGAAACAAAAGCAGCACAUCAUAUAAAGGUACAAGUUUUAUUUUUGUAAUUACUGUGGAUGGUUGAGCAGUGCUAGAACCUGUGGAAGAAACUAAAGCAUAACAAAUAAGACUGACAUACUCUUCUUUUCUGGUGUUUCCUCAGCAGCCAAACAGAUUUAUAUUAGAAGAUAAAACUUAAGAAUUUGUAUUAGAAAUUUCAAACUUUUACCAUUAAAUGGCUGUUUCGAACGGCCAGCUUUUUACGGAGCUGGGAAGGUGAACUCCUAGUCGUAGUAUCACCUCACUGUAAUAAGAAAAUAAUAUUAAAAAAUAUAACAAGACAAUUUUUUUUUU